This 497-nucleotide ribosomal RNA is filed under the name uncultured bacterium. RNAcentral describes it as "partial 16S ribosomal RNA". It matches the Rfam family "Bacterial small subunit ribosomal RNA", at positions 28 to 507 of the family's 1533-position model. The record is from RNAcentral.
GAUGAACGCUGGCGGCGUGCCUAAUACAUGCAAGUCGAGCGAACAGACGAGGAGCUUGCUCCUCUGACGUUAGCGGCGGACGGGUGAGUAACACGUGGAUAACCUACCUAUAAGACUGGGAUAACUUCGGGAAACCGGAGCUAAUACCGGAUAAUAUAUUGAACCGCAUGGUUCAAUAGUGAAAGACGGUUUUGCUGUCACUUAUAGAUGGAUCCGCGCCGCAUUAGCUAGUUGGUAAGGUAACGGCUUACCAAGGCAACGAUGCGUAGCCGACCUGAGAGGGUGAUCGGCCACACUGGAACUGAGACACGGUCCAGACUCCUACGGGAGGCAGCAGUAGGGAAUCUUCCGCAAUGGGCGAAAGCCUGACGGAGCAACGCCGCGUGAGUGAUGAAGGUCUUCGGAUCGUAAAGCUCUGUUAUUAGGGAAGAACAAAUGUAUAAGUAACUAUGCACGUCUUGACGGUACCUAAUCAGAAAGCCACGGCUAACUACGUG